Molecule: ribosomal RNA, 486 nt
Filed under: Klebsiella variicola
Lineage: Bacteria; Pseudomonadati; Pseudomonadota; Gammaproteobacteria; Enterobacterales; Enterobacteriaceae
Description: bacterial SSU rRNA
Rfam family: Bacterial small subunit ribosomal RNA
Source: RNAcentral
CAAAUGAAUUGACGGGGGCCCGCACAAGCGGUGGAGCAUGUGGUUUAAUUCGAUGCAACGCGAAGAACCUUACCUGGUCUUGACAUCCACAGAACUUUGCAGAGAUGGAUUGGUGCCUUCGGGAACUGUGAGACAGGUGCUGCAUGGCUGUCGUCAGCUCGUGUUGUGAAAUGUUGGGUUAAGUCCCGCAACGAGCGCAACCCUUAUCCUUUGUUGCCAGCGGUUCGGCCGGGAACUCAAAGGAGACUGCCAGUGAUAAACUGGAGGAAGGUGGGGAUGACGUCAAGUCAUCAUGGCCCUUACGACCAGGGCUACACACGUGCUACAAUGGCAUAUACAAAGAGAAGCGCCCUCGCGAGAGCAAGCGGACCUCAUAAAGUAUGUCGUAGUCCGGAUUGGAGUCUGCAACUCGACUCCAUGAAGUCGGAAUCGCUAGUAAUCGUAGAUCAGAAUGCUACGGUGAAUACGUUCCCGGGCCUUGUACAC